Molecule: long non-coding RNA, 806 nt
Organism: Dama dama (fallow deer)
Lineage: Eukaryota; Metazoa; Chordata; Mammalia; Artiodactyla; Cervidae
Exons: 4
Source: RefSeq, a predicted model, not a curated record
CUAAGGUCUGCUAAGUAGCAUGGAGUGGUGGCUAACAGCAUGAACUUUAAACCAGACUUUCAAGGUUUGCACCUGGGCUCUACCACCUUUUAACUGUGAGACUUUGGUGGUCUGGAACUGGAUGCAUAGUAUCUCCACGGUAUCCCUGUAUAUAUAUGUGCAUAUAUAUUUGCAUGUAUGUACAUGUAUGUAUAUAUAUCACCGGGAAUAAACUUUAAAAGAAACUUAAAAUGUAUGAAGAUCUACCUGAAGGAAAGAACAAAACUUUACCAAGGACUUCAAGAACUCAGGAAGAAAUGCCAAAGGAAAGCUUUCAGAAGGAUUUUGAACAGCAGCAGCAUAUUGAAAUAAAUGUACACAGCCUGGAUAGCUGGAAACACAUUUAGAUCCCUAUCCAUGUGACCACUUUCCAUCAGAAGAUAGCUGUUUGAAUUGUCAGUUCAAAAGCUCCCACUGCCCAGCAAGGCCAAAUGCCAACACACAAAACAACCUUUCAAACCAGUUAAGUUUAUCUCUAUGCCAAACACAGCUUUGAAAUACAAGUUUAGAUAGAAUGUGAACUGCUGAUGAAGAAUUGCUUCAAUGGAAUCAGCCCUGUAAAGGGCCAAAGGAGUAAACGUGAUCUUCCACGUGAAUGAACUGCAAUGGCUGCAUAUUGAUGAGACACAUUCAAGUCUUACCUUCAGUGGUGCAGUCAAAAGUAGACUCUUUCCUCGAUUGGGUAUGAAAGCCUAUUUAUAAACAGCUUUACCAGCUCUGUGGUACUAGAGAGUUGGACGACUGGAAGAGAGGAUGGAAGUUCUGCC